Molecule: unclassified non-coding RNA, 239 nt
Filed under: Bombus terrestris (buff-tailed bumblebee)
Lineage: Eukaryota; Metazoa; Arthropoda; Insecta; Hymenoptera; Apidae
Description: misc RNA ENSBTSG00005038864.1
Source: RNAcentral
AUUGUUAUCUUUUGAAUGAAUAACAUUUUCUCCUUUAAUUAAUUAUCGGAGACUUUAAUGGAACUCUACAUGAAAUGUUUGAAAAAUAUAGACUAUGGAGUUAUUUCAGGGUCAUGUGAGAUUAAAAAAUAUGCCUGUGAUUAUGCUAAAGCUUCACUGAUAAUGGUUAUGUACUCUUAUUUGCAACUCAUAAUGAUUCUAGCUGAAGUAGAGCAUUCAGUUGGAUUCUCUUAGUGAAA